UACGUAGGGUGCAAGCGUUAAUCGGAAUUACUGGGCGUAAAGCGCACGCAGGCGGUUUGUUAAGCCAGAUGUGAAAUCCCCGGGCUCAACCUGGGAACUGCAUCUUGUACUGGCAAGCUUGAGUCUGGUAGAGGGGGGUAGAAUUCCACGUGUAGCGGUGAGAUGCGUAGAGAUCUGGAGGAAUACCGGUGGCGAAGGCAGCCCCCUGGACGAAGACUGACGCUCAUGUGCGAAAGCGUGGGGAGCAAACAGG
RNAcentral lists this ribosomal RNA (253 nucleotides) under uncultured bacterium. Its description in RNAcentral is "partial 16S ribosomal RNA". It matches the Rfam family "Bacterial small subunit ribosomal RNA", at positions 524 to 776 of the family's 1533-position model. The record is from RNAcentral.